CGGUUGCCCGCGGCUAUAAUGCAAGUCGAACGGAGGAUUAGCAAUAAUUCUUAGUGGCGAACGGGUGAGUAACGCGUUGGUGACCUGCCCCAAAGAGUGGGAUAACAGUCCGAAAGGAUUGCUAAUACCGCAUGUGGUUGUCGGGUUUAGAAACCGAUAACAAAAGCAGUAAUGCGCUUUGGGAGGGACCUGCGUCCCAUCAGCUAGUUGGUGAGGUAACGGCUCACCAAGGCAACGACGGGUAAGGGGCCUGAGAGGGUGGCCCCUCACAAUGGAACUGAAACACGGUCCAUACACCUACGGGUGGCAGCAGUAGGGAAUAUUGGUCAAUGGGCGAAAGCCUGAACCAGCAACGCCGCGUGUGCGAUGAAGGUCUUCGGAUCGUAAAGCACUUUUCUGGGAGAUGAGAACGGACAGUAUCCCAGGAAUAAGCCUCGGCUAACUACGCGCCAGCAGCCGCGGUAAAACGUAGGAGGCAAGCGUUAUCCGGAUUUACUGGGCGUAAAGCGCGUGCAGGCGGUUCGGCAAGUUGGAUGUGAAAGCUCCUGGCUCAACUAGGAGAGGUCGUUCAAAACUACCGAACUUGAGGGCAUCAGAGGAAAGUGGAAUUCCCGGUGUAGUGGUGAAAUGCGUAGAUAUCGGGAGGAACACCAGUGGCGAAAGCGACUUUCUGGGAUGCAUCUGACGCUCAGACGCGAAAGCUAGGGUAGCAAACGGGAUUAGAGACCCCGGUAGUCCUAGCAGUAAACGAUGUAGACUUGGUGUCGGUAGUGUCAAAGCUAUCGGUAUCGAAGCUAACGCGAUAAGUCUACCGCCUGGGGACUACGGCCGCAAGGUUAAAACUCAAAGGAAUUGACGG
RNAcentral lists this ribosomal RNA (859 nucleotides) under uncultured Chloroflexota bacterium. RNAcentral describes it as "bacterial SSU rRNA". It matches the Rfam family "Bacterial small subunit ribosomal RNA", at positions 34 to 916 of the family's 1533-position model. Lineage: Bacteria; Bacillati; Chloroflexota. The record is from RNAcentral.